UCAUUUUAAAAGCUUGAGUUUAGUGCUGUGACGGUUGCUAGGCGACAGCACAUGCGCCGACGUAAGGGCGGGAAUAGCCAACCCGGAAGAAGUGACCUCGCCCACCGGAACCGUGUUAAACACGGCAUCAUGGCGACGGUAAAAUAAAGUAAACAAUGAGCAAAUGUUCAAGGCAGAGACGUUACAUUAACAGAGAAAUAUGGCGAGCGAAUAGAAACAGUCCCGGUUUAUCGGAAGAAACGAGUUUAAACAACCGGGACAUUUAUUUCGCUGAGUCAUCAUGGCGAACUGACGUCAGCUACAGUAAUGGCUCCAGUUUACUUCAGUUUAGCUGUUAAACAGUCUGAAAUGGUUACAAAAGCGUUGGAGGCUAAAGUCUGACCGACAUGAAGACCCCAGGGAGUCAAAUGGAGCCCAUACAUGUGGAGCACGGCUGGUUUUCAGUCUAAGAAGAAAUUAGUUUUUACGGACCAAGAUGGCGGCGGAUGUCAUGAACAAAAGUCGGCCGUCGGUCCUUCCUGCUCCUGGCGGAGCAGACGGCGCCUCCUGCAGAGGGAAACGAACGGCUCUGAGACGUGCGGCUAUGUUUAGCGCGUCUGUCAACACAAUCAUUGAUGCAUUUCACUUCAGAGAAACGUCUCCACCUGUUUCCCUCUGUUUCCGCUGACAGGGAGCCUUGAGAUGAGUUCUGCAGGUUCAGCCCGGUUCCCUCCAACCUGUUGACUCCAGGUGAGGUUCGGUCAGCCGCCAUGUUCCUCCAUAGAAACAUGGAGGAUAAAAGUCAGUGUGAUUAUUUACAUCAACAGCUGCUCUCACCUCUGUUUGAUUAUGAGAAUAAAGUCAUAACAUUAGUAGAAUAAAAACAGAAUAUUGCAACAAAA
This is a long non-coding RNA of Poecilia latipinna (sailfin molly), 881 nucleotides long. RefSeq lists it as uncharacterized. The record is from RefSeq and is a predicted model, not a curated record. The transcript is spliced from 3 exons. NCBI's taxonomy places the organism in Eukaryota, Metazoa, Chordata, Actinopteri, Cyprinodontiformes, Poeciliidae.